Molecule: ribosomal RNA, 262 nt
Filed under: uncultured bacterium
Lineage: Bacteria
Description: partial 16S ribosomal RNA
Rfam family: Bacterial small subunit ribosomal RNA
Source: RNAcentral
CGAGUGGCGAACGGGUGAGUAAUACAUCGGAACGUGUCCGCUCGUGGGGGGACAACCAGCCGAAAGGUUGGCUAAUACCGCAUGAGUUCUACGGAAGAAAGAGGGGGACCCGCAAGGGCCUCUCGCGAGCGGAGCGGCCGAUGACUGAUUAGCCGGUUGGUGAGGUAACGGCUCACCAAAGCAACGAUCAGUAGCUGGUCUGAGAGGACGACCAGCCACACUGGGACUGAGACACGGCCCAGACUCCUACGGGAGGCAGCAG